UUUUCUUCUUCAGUGCAAUUCACUUCUUUUUCUUCUUCCUCUGAAAAUUUUUCAUGCCGCAGUUGUCUUCUUCUCCCUCCCUUGUGACACCGAAUCCUCCACGUUUUCGUGUGGUUAGCUUGCUUUAUUUUAUCUUGUUGUUUUGUUUCCAUUUGUUAAAAACCGAAUCUCCUCUUUUCUAUUUUUUUCUGCAUUUUAUUUCAUGAGUUUCCUCCAUUGCUGCAGGUCGGUCCGUACCUCAUAGUGCGCCUCUUUCCUCUUCUUCUUUUCUUAUGUGUUUCUUGUUAUUGUAGUGUAAAAAAAAAGAAAAAAACCUUGCUUUUUCUCUUGCUUUUCCCCUUGCAUUGUGCUCUGUUUUGGACCUGAUCUUUAUGCUCUGUUUUUGCUCCAAACGUGAAGCUUGAGACUCGGUUUUCCCUCUCUUUGUCUCUAUUAAUUUCGUGUACUUGGUUGUGGGUAAUCUCUGGUGAUUUUCGGGUGUUUUUCUCCCCAACCCAUGCUCUGUUGUCACCUCUACCGUGCCCUUUUUUUUUUGGUCCAGCCAUGAGCUUCACUUUUGGUUUUCUUGGUAUUUUCCUCUGCCAUGGAUCUCGUUUUUCUAGCCUUAAUCUUCUCAUUUUAUUUCAGUAAAAACAGCCCAUUUAUUCUGAAAAUUUCAUCUUCAUUUAUCUUGUUUUUGAAACCCAUUUUAGUCUCAAAAUGUAAUUUUUGUUUAUUUAUUUUCAAGCUAGCUUUUGGAGUUUAUCAAGUAUUUGAUCUUCUAGAAUUAUUUUCCUUUAAAGUGUUGUAAGUAUUUUUCUGAAUAACUCGUGAUUUAAAUAUAUUUAUGUUUUAACAAAUAUUUUUUCGUGGAUUGGUUUGUUUUGCCGGACUGAGUCCGAAGAGUUUGAGGGUCGGUUGGAAUGGAGGAGUUAUUUGUUUGUUUGGUUGAUAUUGGGAUUUGCUGGAUUAUUUUGUGACUUGUAGCAUGCAUGAUCAUGUUUUGUAAAAUGGAAAUUGGAUUUUUAGCAUAGUGCAUGCAUAUUCAUGGGUAUGAAUGGAAAAUUGAUUUUCGUGUAAAAGUAGAUUUUUUGGGUGCGUGUGUAUCAUGACUCCAAGCCGAGAUGAGACAUUAUCUCGGUGGAACUCCUUUGAUCACUCGGGAACGUAAUAUACUGAGUGACAUCUCUUGGGUUAUCGCUGGGCGACAACAAGAACAAACAGGAUGGUAACGCUCUCGUGUCGACUCCAUGGCCCCUCUGCUAGUAGGGGCGAAAGGAUGCUUGGCUAUGAACGCGUUGGGCACAAAACUGGGCAUCGCUCGUUACGAAAUCACAUGCAUGGUCGUUACCCAUGUUUUUGUUGCAGAUGUGGAGGCUAAGCCUGAGGAGGCGGCUCUGCCGAAGGAGUGACUUAAUGCUUUAUCUUGUGUAUUGGGAAGUGUUUUCCUGCCUUUUAAUUAUGUAUUUGGUUUUACAUUAUGUUUUUUUUUGGACUUUUGUAAUAUUUUUGAUACAUUUAUUUUUUAAGUGAAAUUAUAUUUUAACAAUUCUGGUACAUAGUUGACUGA
This is a long non-coding RNA of Carya illinoinensis, 1549 nucleotides long. RefSeq lists it as uncharacterized. The transcript has 2 exons. The record is from RefSeq and is a predicted model, not a curated record. Lineage: Eukaryota; Viridiplantae; Streptophyta; Magnoliopsida; Fagales; Juglandaceae.